This 113-nucleotide ribosomal RNA is filed under the name Nannospalax galili (Upper Galilee mountains blind mole rat). Lineage: Eukaryota; Metazoa; Chordata; Mammalia; Rodentia; Spalacidae. The record is from RNAcentral.
UUCUAUGGCCAUACCACUCCAAACACGUUCGAGCGUGUCUGAUCUCAGAAGCUAAGCAGGGUCGGGCCGGUUAGAUGGGGGAUUUUCAGGUUAUCUUUCAUGUGUUGUGAUUU